GCCAGUGUGGUGUAGUGGUUUGAGUGUUGGAUUAUGACUUUGAAAGCCAGGGUUCAAAUCCCAGCUCGUCCA
Molecule: transfer RNA, 72 nt
Filed under: Phrynosoma platyrhinos (Desert horned lizard)
Lineage: Eukaryota; Metazoa; Chordata; Lepidosauria; Squamata; Phrynosomatidae
Description: tRNA-OTHER
Source: RNAcentral